This 1395-nucleotide ribosomal RNA is filed under the name uncultured bacterium. Its description in RNAcentral is "bacterial SSU rRNA". It matches the Rfam family "Bacterial small subunit ribosomal RNA". The record is from RNAcentral.
AGAGUUUGAUCCUGGCUCAGAUUGAACGCUGGCGGCAGGCCUAACACAUGCAAGUCGAGCGGUAGCACAGAGAGCUUGCUCUCGGGUGACGAGCGGCGGACGGGUGAGUAAUGUCUGGGAAACUGCCUGAUGGAGGGGGAUAACUACUGGAAACGGUAGCUAAUACCGCAUAAUGUCGCAAGACCAAAGUGGGGGACCUUCGGGCCUCAUGCCAUCAGAUGUGCCCAGAUGGGAUUAGCUAGUAGGUGGGGUAACGGCUCACCUAGGCGACGAUCCCUAGCUGGUCUGAGAGGAUGACCAGCCACACUGGAGCUGAGACACGGUCCAGACUCCUACGGGAGGCAGCAGUGGGGAAUAUUGCACAAUGGGCGCAAGCCUGAUGCAGCCAUGCCGCGUGUGUGAAGAAGGCCUUCGGGUUGUAAAGCACUUUCAGCGGGGAGGAAGGCGGUGAGGUUAAUAACCUCAUCGAUUGACGUUACCCGCAGAAGAAGCACCGGCUAACUCCGUGCCAGCAGCCGCGGUAAUACGGAGGGUGCAAGCGUUAAUCGGAAUUACUGGGCGUAAAGCGCACGCAGGCGGUCUGUCAAGUCGGAUGUGAAAUCCCCGGGCUCAACCUGGGAACUGCAUUCGAAACUGGCAGGCUAGAGUCUUGUAGAGGGGGGUAGAAUUCCAGGUGUAGCGGUGAAAUGCGUAGAGAUCUGGAGGAAUACCGGUGGCGAAGGCGGCCCCCUGGACAAAGACUGACGCUCAGGUGCGAAAGCGUGGGGAGCAAACAGGAUUAGAUACCCUGGUAGUCCACGCCGUAAACGAUGUCGAUUUGGAGGUUGUGCCCUUGAGGCGUGGCUUCCGGAGCUAACGCGUUAAAUCGACCGCCUGGGGAGUACGGCCGCAAGGUUAAAACUCAAAUGAAUUGACGGGGGCCCGCACAAGCGGUGGAGCAUGUGGUUUAAUUCGAUGCAACGCGAAGAACCUUACCUGGUCUUGACAUCCACAGAACUUUCCAGAGAUGGAUUGGUGCCUUCGGGAACUGUGAGACAGGUGCUGCAUGGCUGUCGUCAGCUCGUGUUGUGAAAUGUUGGGUUAAGUCCCGCAACGAGCGCAACCCUUAUCCUUUGUUGCCAGCGGUCCGGCCGGGAACUCAAAGGAGACUGCCAGUGAUAAACUGGAGGAAGGUGGGGAUGACGUCAAGUCAUCAUGGCCCUUACGACCAGGGCUACACACGUGCUACAAUGGCAUAUACAAAGAGAAGCGACCUCGCGAGAGCAAGCGGACCUCAUAAAGUAUGUCGUAGUCCGGAUUGGAGUCUGCAAUUCGACUCCGUGAAGUCGGAAUCGCUAGUAAUCGUAGAUCAGAAUGCUACGGUGAAUACGUUCCCGGGCCUUGUACACACCGCCC